Long non-coding RNA from Triticum dicoccoides, 1736 nucleotides. RefSeq lists it as uncharacterized. Lineage: Eukaryota; Viridiplantae; Streptophyta; Magnoliopsida; Poales; Poaceae. The transcript is spliced from 2 exons. The record is from RefSeq and is a predicted model, not a curated record.
UGCGCCUCGGGGAUGUUCCGUCCUCCCCACUAGGCCCGAGGAGGCGGCCAUGAGGAGCGCGCAGCCGCCAGAACCAUGGGGAGAUCCAGCCGGCGCCGUCGGCAGCCAUCCCUCCCUUCGGCGGCCAUGAGAAUUGAAGAGUCUUGAGUAGCACGAGCGCAUGGACGGUGCGCACCUCCCGCGAUAGGAGCCACCGGUCCUCGUCAUCUGCUAGCAUCCACGAGGAAUCGAUCCAUCGUCCAUAUGUAAGCUAGCUUCCACAAUAAUCCAUCCAGCAGGCUGCUUGCUUGUAUGUGUACUAGAGGAAACGGGAGCAAGAUGCGUGGCCGGCGUCGAGGGUACAUUCGCGCUGCUAAUUUAUUCUCCUGAAUGUUUGCGAGAAGCUCGAUUAGUGUCGAUGCCUCAAGGGCUUAUGCAUAUCAAUUCCAUGCUGCUUAAAGCCACGGUAAUCAUGGCUUCUGGUUUCCAGGUAUAUGUUUAUGCAGUCAUAUGGACGCACUCCUUGACAAUUCAUAAGGAAUGUUUAUAUUCUUUAUAACGUUGCCAUGGAAUGUGUACUAUUAUAAAACAUCUUGCGGGUACAUUGGUUAGGUACUAGAAGGCACACACACACACACAUGCCCAACACAACAACAAGCACACACAUACAACACAACACAAGCAAAACAUAGAUGCUCUGCUCCUGAUUUCUCAAUAGCAUGAUGAUGCCUUUGCACUGGGGGCCACUUUGCAUGUGCUUGCUCAUGUACUGACCUGAUUGAUAGGUGUUUCCGUGUUUGUGCUGCUGUGUUCAACUAAUGUCCAGAUACAACAAGUUAGCCUUCAUUUGUACAAGAGCUAAGUAGAACUGUCUCAACUCCUUUUUGUGUGGUUGCUUACCACACAUCGUCCACUUGGUGACUGUCGAAACUCUUAAUACAAUAGCACAGUAGUUUACUACUAUGUGGGAUUAAAUGGGAUUAUCUGGGCAAGCAGACACAACAUGGUUGAUUGUGGGCUGCCCACAAACACCUGCAUAACACAUGUGUGCUGGUGUGGGCAUUCCUCUAUUAGUCCCACUUGCAGCCUGAAUGUGUAUCCCUAAGUAAGUGAAUGGUCGUGCAUAUCCAUUGAAAUAUUGUUCAUGCACAUUCUGUUAUCAUUGUCGUUGAAUAACAUUGAUCAUAAUAUAGGUUGCAUCCAAAGUAGUUUUAAAGACUACAUAUCCAAACCAGCGGAAUGUUGCAUCUGCUACUAUUCGAAGUACUGGUCUAGAAACUAUGGUUGGUGAUAUUUAGUUAGGUGCUGAAUUUUCACUUGUGUGCAGAGAUGAACCAAUUCUGGAUAAUGAGUUAGUAAGGUAAGUUUCUGAUUGCAAGAGAAUUGAUGACACUUUUACUUCAGGAUACUUAAUUGCUCGACCUUCAGCUUUUGUAAGUUGGAGUCUUUUCUUCCAUAUUACAAAAUUAUAUUUGUAUACAUUUAAUCACAUAAUCAUAAGGUCCAUUUAUUUCUUGCAGAUUCAAAAGAAGCAUAAUUGAGUUGCAGCUGAAUUCUUUGGUUGGAUGAAAAAGCAAAUAACUGUAGUUUACAUUGCUAGAUAGAAAAAUGUAAUAGCAUUUAGAAGAUCUUUUUCUUUGGUUGAAUUGAUGUAAAUGCUAUGGUGUAAUAUUCUCCAUAGAUGUUUCUUUAUUGUAAAAUUGAUAUGAAUGAUAUGUUUUUCAAUCAGUAAUAGUGGUAUCCCACACUCUUGUAUA